Molecule: long non-coding RNA, 940 nt
Organism: Syzygium oleosum
Lineage: Eukaryota; Viridiplantae; Streptophyta; Magnoliopsida; Myrtales; Myrtaceae
Exons: 2
Source: RefSeq, a predicted model, not a curated record
UCACUUCCGGAUGGUGGCAGAGAUGUGGUGGUCCCAAUGGUUGGGGCCGGCAGUUACGGGGAUCCAGCUGGACUAGAGUUCGGGGCGGUCGAGGUUUCACUGAUGGUGACAGCUAAUUUUUGUCCUUGAGAGCAAUUGUCUCUUUUAGAAAAGGUGUAGAAGAAGUAAUACUCGCAGGCGUUGUUGAGGGAAAAGGAUGCCUGCAGAGGUUCCCUUAACAUCGCAAGCAUCUCUGGUAGACAAUCUUCUGGGGGAUCAUUUGGUUUUGGAGCAAGUUGAUGAUGAGGAAGCUGAGAUGGUUUUGAUGGGAAGGAUCUUGUCGGAGAAGUGCUUGAGUCGAGCUGCAUAGCUAAUGUUUGAAGGAAAGCCUGGGCCGGUAUGGGUGAGAUUACUAUAACCCCUCGAAAUGAGAAGAUGUAUUUGUUCAGGUUUCACGAUUGGCACCAAGCAGAGAGAGUCCUAAGUUCUGGACCUUGGUCGAUUAGGGGAAAUUGCAAAAACCUGCAGAGAUGGGAUGCUCAGAGGAGACUGGAGGACCUCUGUUUUGAUGAACUGGAGAUGUGGCUGCAAAUACAUAAAUUGGCCUUCAACCGGAUGACAUAAAAACAGUACGAAAUCUAUUGCUCCUUUGGCGGGCAAAGUGGUGAAAGUUGGGUCAAUUCGCACCAAAUCUCUGGGUCUCGUGGAUUCCUUCGCGCUAAAGUUGCAGUGGAUGUUAACAAACCCCUCUUACGUGGAAAGUGGAGUGUCAGGGAUAAUGGUGAAAGGUAUUGGGUAGAGAUCCGAUAUGAGCGGAUGCCAUCCUUUUGUUACUCGUGGUUGAAACUGAGGUCGGGGAGUCAUGGCUUCCAAGUCACGAUUCCGUUCUUGGCCUAUUCCCUCUGUAAUUUAUAUUGUCAUACGAUAACCCAUAAAUAAAAUUAUUUAAUCUUUCAACUUU